AUACUUACCUGGCAGGGGAGACACCCUGGUCACGGAGGUGGUUUUCCCAGGGCGAGGCUCACCAGAUGUGCUGACCCCUGCGAUUCUGCAAUUUCCCAAAAAAUGGGAAACUCGAUUGCAUAAUUUGUGGUAGUGGGAGACUGCGUUUGCCCUCUCCCC
Small nuclear RNA from Ochotona princeps (American pika), 159 nucleotides. Its record names the gene U1. It matches the Rfam family "U1 spliceosomal RNA". Rfam says of the family: U1 is a small nuclear RNA (snRNA) component of the spliceosome (involved in pre-mRNA splicing). Lineage: Eukaryota; Metazoa; Chordata; Mammalia; Lagomorpha; Ochotonidae. The record is from Ensembl.